CCUACGGGGGGCAGCAGUGGGGAAUAUUGGACAAUGGGGGCAACCCUGAUCCAGCCAUGCCGCGUGUGUGAAGAAAGCCCUCGGGUUGUAAAGCACUUUCAGUGAGGAAGAACGCCUGGUGGUUAAUACCCAUCAGGAAAGACAUCACUCACAGAAGAAGCACCGGCAUAACUCCGUGCCAGCAGCCGCGGUAAUACGGAGGGUGCGAGCGUUAAUCGGAAUUACUGGGCGUAAAGCGCGCGUAGGUGGCUUGAUAAGCCGGUUGUGAAAGCCCCGGGCUCAACCUGGGAACGGCAUCCGGAACUGUCAAGCUAGAGUGCAGGAGAGGAAGGUAGAAUUCCAGGUGUAGCGGUGAAAUGCGUAGAGAUCGGGAGGAAUACCAGUGGCGAAGGCGGCCUUCUGGACUGACACUGACACUGAGGUGCGAAAGCGUGGGUAGCAAACAGGAUUAGAUACCCUAGUAGUC
Molecule: ribosomal RNA, 466 nt
Filed under: Vreelandella stevensii
Lineage: Bacteria; Pseudomonadati; Pseudomonadota; Gammaproteobacteria; Oceanospirillales; Halomonadaceae
Description: partial 16S ribosomal RNA
Rfam family: Bacterial small subunit ribosomal RNA
Source: RNAcentral